RNAcentral lists this transfer RNA (82 nucleotides) under Xylaria grammica. It matches the Rfam family "tRNA". From Rfam's summary of the family: Transfer RNA (tRNA) molecules are approximately 80 nucleotides in length. Their secondary structure includes four short double-helical elements and three loops (D, anti-codon, and T loops). The record is from Rfam by way of RNAcentral. RNAcentral also lists the same sequence under 1 other name. Lineage: Eukaryota; Fungi; Ascomycota; Sordariomycetes; Xylariales; Xylariaceae.
GCCCGCUUGGCUCACCGGUAGAGCGCCUCACUAGUACGACUAGGAAAUGAGGAGGCAACUGGUUCGACUCCAGUAGUGGGCA